CCUGAGCAAGACCAACAAUUGCUGAAUAAACACAACCCCCCCUGAGAAUCACGCAGACAGGCACUGUCUCUUUACCUGGGAAUUGCAAAGGAAGUGAGAACAUCCCCGAGCAAGACCAAAAAUUGCUGAAUAAACACAAACCCCCUUGAGAAUCACGCCAACAGGUGCUGCCUCUUUACCUGGGGAUUGCAAAGGUAUGUACAGCACUGUACAGUUUACUAAACACAAGUCUUCACAUCAGUCCUCUUCUCCGCAGCCACAUGACUCAAGCAGGCACAGCACCCAACAGGAACACCAGAGUCCUGAGCAGGAAGAAUUUCUCCUGUUGCAGCCAUGGGGGGAGUCAGGCAUGAUGUGCCUGAUGGUGCAGCAGGACAUGAUGAUGUCAGGGCUGCCUGGGACAUAUUGAACUUCCUGAUUUUUUCUUCUUGUGAUGGAAGAAAUGAUUUUGGAUUAAGAUG
Molecule: small RNA, 461 nt
Filed under: Pongo abelii (Sumatran orangutan)
Lineage: Eukaryota; Metazoa; Chordata; Mammalia; Primates; Hominidae
Description: processed transcript
Source: RNAcentral